This 465-nucleotide ribosomal RNA is filed under the name Vreelandella stevensii. RNAcentral's name for it is "partial 16S ribosomal RNA". It matches the Rfam family "Bacterial small subunit ribosomal RNA", at positions 338 to 795 of the family's 1533-position model. The record is from RNAcentral. Lineage: Bacteria; Pseudomonadati; Pseudomonadota; Gammaproteobacteria; Oceanospirillales; Halomonadaceae.
CCUACGCGCUGCUGCAGUGGGGAAUAUUGGACAAUGGGCGAAAGCCUGAUCCAGCCAUGCCGCGUGUGUGAAGAAGGCCUUCGGGUUGUAAAGCACUUUCAGUGGGGAAGAAAGCCUUGGGGCUAAUACCCUCGAGGAAGGACAUCACCCACAGAAGAAGCACCGGCUAACUCCGUGCCAGCAGCCGCGGUAAUACGGAGGGUGCGAGCGUUAAUCGGAAUUACUGGGCGUAAAGCGCGCGUAGGCGGUCUGAUAAGCCGGUUGUGAAAGCCCCGGGCUCAACCUGGGAACGGCAUCCGGAACUGUCAGGCUAGAGUGCAGGAGAGGAAGGUAGAAUUCCCGGUGUAGCGGUGAAAUGCGUAGAGAUCGGGAGGAAUACCAGUGGCGAAGGCGGCCUUCUGGACUGACACUGACGCUGAGGUGCGAAAGCGUGGGUAGCAAACAGGAUUAGAUACCCCAGUAGUC